GAGUUAACAUCUGAUUCCAGGACUGUGGUUAACGGGGGUCUAACCUCCACUAUGUAGACAGGAGUUAACAUCUGAUUCCAGGACUGUGGUUAACGGGGGUCUAACCUCCACUAUGUAGACAGGAGUUAACAUCUGAUUCCAGGACUGUGGUUAACGGGGGGUCCUAACCUCCACUAUGUAGAGACAGGAGUUAACAUCUCAUUCCAGGACUGUGGUUAACGGGGGUCCCUAACCUCCACUAUGUAGAGACAGGAGUUAACAUCUGAUUCCAGGACUGUGGUUAACGGGGGUCUAACCUCCACUAUGUAGAGACAGGAGUUAACAUCUGAUUCCAGGACUGUGGUUAACGGGGGGUCCCUAACCUCCACUAUGUAGAGACGGGAGUUAACAUCUGAUUCCAGGACUGUGGUUAACGGGGGUCCUAACCUCCACUAUGUAGAGACAGGAGUUAAGAUCUGAUUCCAGGACUGUGGUUAACGGGGGUCCUAACCUCCACUAUGUAGAGACAGGAGUUAACAUCUGAUUCCAGGACUGUGGUUAACGGGGGUCUAACCUCCACUAUGUAGACAGGAGAGUUAACAUCUGAUUCCAGGACUGUGGUUAACAGGGGGUCCCUAACCUCCACUAUGUAGAGACAGGAGUUAACAUCUGAUUCCAGGACUGUGGUUAACAGGGGGUCCCUAACCUCCACUAUGUAGAGACAGGAGUUAACAUCUGAUUCCAGGACUGUGGUUAACAGGGGGUCCCCUAACCUCCACUAUGUAGAGACAGGAGUUAACAUCUGAUUCCAGGACUGUGGUUAACGGGGGUCCUAACCUCCACUAUGUAGAGACAGGAGUUAACAUCUGAUUCCAGGACUGUGGUUAACGGGGGUCCCUAACCUCCACUAUGUAGAGACAGGAGUUAACAUCUGAUUCCAGGACUGUGGUUAACAGGGGGUCCCCUAACCUCCACUAUGUAGAGACAGGAGUUAACAUCUGAUUCCAGGACUGUGGUUAACGGGGGUCCUAACCUCCACUAUGUAGAGACAGGAGUUAACAUCUGAUUCCAGGACUGUGGUUAACAGGGGGUCCUAACCUCCACUAUGUAGAGACAGGAGUUAACAUCUGAUUCCAGGACUGUGGUUAACGGGGGGUCCUAACCUCCACUAUGUAGAGACAGGAGUUAACAUCUGAUUCCAGGACUGUGGUUAACGGGGGUCUAACCUCCACUAUGUAGAGACAGGAGUUAACAUCUGAUUCCAGGACUGUGGUUAACGGGGGAUAAAUGUUAGGUCUUUAAUGUCACUGUCGUAAUUAUCUUUUCUAUUGUUAUUACUACACUCUAAUCACUGUUCAUAUCAGCUGUCUGUCACUACACAGCCUGUCUGUCGUUGACCUGUCCUAGACUGUCUGUCUGGAACGGACCUGUCCUAGACUACACAACCUGUCUGUCUGUCUGUAACGGACCUGUCCUAGACUACACAACCUGUCUGUCUGUCUGUCUGGAACUGACCUGUCCUAGACUACACAACCUGUCUGUCUGUCUGUCUGGAACUGACCUGUCCUAGACUACACAACCUGUCUGUCUGUCUGUCUGUCUGUGACUGACCUGUCCUAGACUACACAACCUGUCUGUCUGUCUGUCUGUCUGUGACUGACCUGUCCUAGACUACACAACCUGUCUGUCUGUCUGUCUGUCUGUAACGGACCUGUCCUAGACUACACAACCUGUCUGUCUGUCUGUCUGUAACGGACCUGUCCUAGACUACACAACCUGUCUGUCUGUCUGUAACGGACCUGUCCUAGACUACACAACCUGUCUGUCUGUAACGGACCUGUCCUAGACUACACAACCUGUCUGUCUGUCUGGAACUGACCUGUCCUAGACUACACAACCUGUCUGUCUGUCUGGAACUGACCUGUCCUAGACUACACAACCUGUCUGUCUGUCUGUCUGUAACGGACCUGUCCUAGACUACACAACCUGUCUGUAACGGACCUGUCCUAGUCUACACAACCUGUCUGUCUGUAACGGACCUGUCCUAGACUACACAACCUGUCUGUCUGUCUGGAACUGACCUGUCCUAGACUACACAACCUGUCUGUCUGUCUGGAACUGACCUGUCCUAGACUACACAACCUGUCUGUCUGUCUGUAACUGACCUGUCCUAGACUACACAACCUGUCUGUCU
Molecule: long non-coding RNA, 2173 nt
Filed under: Salmo salar (Atlantic salmon)
Lineage: Eukaryota; Metazoa; Chordata; Actinopteri; Salmoniformes; Salmonidae
Description: lncRNA (ENSSSAG00000105091.1)
Source: RNAcentral